Molecule: long non-coding RNA, 1528 nt
Organism: Lontra canadensis (Northern American river otter)
Lineage: Eukaryota; Metazoa; Chordata; Mammalia; Carnivora; Mustelidae
Exons: 4
Source: RefSeq, a predicted model, not a curated record
GACCUGAGCUGAAGGCAGAUGCCUAACAACUGAACCACCCGGAUGCCCCUCCUGGUGUCUUUAUAAGAAAGACAACAGAUUUCUCCCUCUCUCCUUGGGUGCACACAGAGAAGGCUACAUGAGGGCCCAGCAAGAAUGUGUGUUUGCAAGCUGAGGAGACAGAUCUCACUGGAAGCCACAUCUGCCAGCACCUUAACUUGGGCCUUCCAGCCUCUAGAACUAUGACAGAAUACAUUCCUGUUGGUUAAGCCACCUAGUCUGCGGUCUCUUGCUAUGGUGGCCUGAGCAGACGAAUACAAUUCCUCACAAAGUUGGUGAGCGAGGAGCCAGGCGCACUUGGAUUUCAAGUUCCACUUUCACGGAUUGCCUCACUUGGCCAAUACAGAAGUUCUGCUAUGGGUCAGACACAGUGCAGGCACUGGUUUCAAUGGUGAGCAAAAUGGCCACCGUUCCUGUCCUCACAGAGUUUAAAGUCAUGGAAAGGGGACGCAUGUUCACCAAAUAACAGCUCAAAUAGACCGAAAUUAGUAACGGUGUUGAGGGCUAUAAGGGGAUGUCACCUUGUCGAGGAGGUCAGAGACAAGUUUUCAAAGAAGUGACACUGGACCUGAGACAUGAAGGGUGACCAAGACUACACUAGGUGAAGUGGGGAAGGAAAAGUAUCGCACACAGAAGGAACAGUGUAUGCAAAGGCCGCUCCCACCAAGGAGGGAGUUGUUUUCUCACGAAGACACAUUGAGGUGUUUCCACAUCUGUGCCCUCUUCUAGACUGUAAACCCUUUGAGGGUAAGGUCUGGGCCUGGCUUCUCUCCCUACCCUCACACCUGGCCCGGAGAGGGCCCAGUGCCAGCGCCCGGCAAACAAGCCUGUGGAGAGACAGCACGUCCUCCUGAGUCAUCAGAUUUCACGGGGCUGAGCCGAAGCCCUGCUUGUCAGCAUGUUGCUCACUGAUGGGAAAAGCUUUCCUGUGGUCUAGACACUCCUGACUCCAGUCUAAAGAGACCUUCUAAAGAAGGUUUCGUCCCUCAUCCUGUGUGGCAGGGGCUCACGGUGUAGUGGUUACAAAACCCGUGAGCUCUGGAACCGGACAGACCUGAGUGGGCAUCAGAGCUUCCAUUCUUCCUCGAGAAGCUCUCUGGGCUUCAGUUUUUUCGUCUGUAAAAUGAGCACAGUCAUAGUAUCUCCCCAGGAGCUCAGCUGUGACGAUGAACUGGGGUGCCAGGACCCGACAGCCCCAUCCUCGCCCAGCGCCAGACUCUGCCUGCCAGACCCUUGUCAGCGGUUACGACCAGCAGCUGCCUCCCGCUGCCCGAGUUUUAUCAAAAGCUCGGUUGAGAGAAAUAAAGUUCAUGGGGGUUAUUUAAAGGCCAUGCAUUCCAUCCAUUCUUCCAGAUGAGACUUAUCCCUGAAUCGAGUCGGGCUCUCAUGAAGCUGAGUUGCUCUUGGACCACAUGAUUCAGCUGCCACAAAAUCUUUAUUAUGUCCCUCCCUUAUGAUGGGGCUUUGUGGAAAAAUGGCUGGAGGAGGC